This 583-nucleotide ribosomal RNA is filed under the name uncultured bacterium. Its description in RNAcentral is "partial 16S ribosomal RNA". It matches the Rfam family "Bacterial small subunit ribosomal RNA", at positions 355 to 1375 of the family's 1533-position model. The record is from RNAcentral.
UGGGGAAUUUUGGACAAUGGGCGAAAGCCUGAUCCAGCAAUGCCGCGUGUGUGAAGAAGGCCUUCGGGUUGUAAAGCACUUUUGUCCGGAAAGAAAUCCUUGGCUCUAAUACAGUCGGGGGAUGACGGUACCGGAAGAAUAAGCACCGGCUAACUACGUGCCAGCAGCCGCGGCAAUACGUAGGGUGCAAGCGUUAAUCGGAAUUACUGGGCGUAAAGCGUGCGCAGGCGGUUUGCUAAGACCGAUGUGAAAUCCCCGGGCUCAACCUGGGAACUGCAUUGGUGACUGGCAGGCUAGAGUAUGGCAGAGGGGGGUAGAAUUCCACGUGUAGCAGUGAAAUGCGUAGAGAUGUGGAGGAAUACCGAUGGCGAAGGCAGCCCCCUGGGCAAUACUGACGCUCAUGCACGAAAGCGUGGGGAGCAAACAGGAUUAGAUACCCUGGUAGUCCACGCCCUAAACGAUGUCAACUAGUUGUUGGGGAUCAUUUCCUUAGUAACGUAGCUAACGCGUGAAGUUGACCGCCUGGGGAGUACGGUCGCAAGAUUAAAACUUAAAUGAAUUGACGGGGUCAUAGCUGUUUCCU